Ornithodoros turicata is the source of this 380-nucleotide long non-coding RNA. RefSeq lists it as uncharacterized. Lineage: Eukaryota; Metazoa; Arthropoda; Arachnida; Ixodida; Argasidae. The transcript is spliced from 3 exons. The record is from RefSeq and is a predicted model, not a curated record.
UCUUCGAUAAAUAGCGCACACGUUGGUAAGAAAUACCUGUGCGUAACCAGGUCUGCCGCCAAACGUUACCCAACUUCAACGUUAUUACCAGCAAAGUCCCGCCAGCCAACAUGAGGAUCGCCAUAGUCUUCCUUCUUAUUGUCGUGCCUGCCAUAUCUGCGUUGAACCAACGCGCCCACCACGCGCUACUGGCCGAACGCGCUGCUGAUAGCUGGCUGAAUCACCCUGUCGUGAAGGCGCUUUUAAAGGAUGUACUGGUAGCUGUUCCAGUUGACCAAAUAUGCGACUACUUGCAACAGUUUGUGGACAAGGCACCGGCGCCAAACAACGGUUGAAGGAUUGCACGUGUGAAAUGAAGAAUAAAUGAAAUCCGUUGAAAA